AGUGAACGCUGGCGGCAGGCCUAACACAUGCAAGUCGAACGGUAGCACAGUAAGAGCUUUCUCUUACGGGUGGCGAGUGGCGGACGGGUGAGGUAUACAUCGGAAUCUACUUUUUCGUGGGGGGUAACGUAGGGAAACUUACGCUAAUACCGCAUACGACCUACGGGGGAAAGCAGGGGAUCUUCGGACCUUGCGCGAUUGAAUGAGCCGGUGUCGGAUUAGCUAGUUGGCGGGGUAAAGGCCCACCAAGGCGGCGAUGCGUAGCUGGUGUGAGCGGAUGAACAGCCACUCUGGAACUGAGACGCGGUCCAGGGUCCUACAGAAGGCAGCAGUGGGGAAUAUUGGACGAUGGGCGGAAGCCUGAUCCAGCGGUACCGCGUGGGUGAAGAAGGCCUUAGGGUUGUAAAGCCCUUUUGUUGGGGAAGAACAGCAGCAGGUUAAUCCCCCGCUGUUCUGACGGUACCCAAAGAAUAAGCACCGGCUAACUUCGUG
RNAcentral lists this ribosomal RNA (492 nucleotides) under uncultured bacterium. RNAcentral's name for it is "partial 16S ribosomal RNA". It matches the Rfam family "Bacterial small subunit ribosomal RNA", at positions 29 to 507 of the family's 1533-position model. The record is from RNAcentral.